UCGAGCGAACAGACGAGGAGCUUGCUCCUCUGACGUUAGCGGCGGACGGGUGAGUAACACGUGGAUAACCUACCUAUAAGACUGGGAUAACUUCGGGAAACCGGAGCUAAUACCGGAUAAUAUAUUGAACCGCAUGGUUCAAUAGUGAAAGACGGUUUUGCUGUCACUUAUAGAUGGAUCCGCGCCGCAUUAGCUAGUUUGGUAAGGUAACGGCUUACCAAGGCAACGACGCGUAGCCGACCUGAGAGGGUGAUCGGCCACACUGGAACUGAGACACGGUCCAGACUCCUACGGGAGGCAGCAGUAGGGAAUCUUCCGCAAUGGGCGAAAGCCUGACGGAGCAACGCCGCGUGAGUGAUGAAGGUCUUCGGAUCGUAAAACUCUGUUAUUAGGGAAGAACAAAUGUGUAAGUAACUAUGCACGUCUUGACGGUACCUAAUCAGAAAGCCACGGCUAACUACGUGCCAGCAGCCGCGGUAAUACGUAGGUGGCAAGCGUUAUCCGGAAUUAUUGGGCGUAAAGCGCGCGUAGGCGGUUUUUUAAGUCUGAUGUGAAAGCCCACGGCUCAACCGUGGAGGGUCAUUGGAAACUGGAAAACUUGAGUGCAGAAGAGGAAAGUGGAAUUCCAUGUGUAGCGGUGAAAUGCGCAGAGAUAUGGAGGAACACCAGUGGCGAAGGCGACUUUCUGGUCUGUAACUGACGCUGAUGUGCGAAAGCGUGGGGAUCAA
Molecule: ribosomal RNA, 728 nt
Filed under: uncultured Staphylococcus sp.
Lineage: Bacteria; Bacillati; Bacillota; Bacilli; Caryophanales; Staphylococcaceae
Description: bacterial SSU rRNA
Rfam family: Bacterial small subunit ribosomal RNA
Source: RNAcentral